This 254-nucleotide ribosomal RNA is filed under the name uncultured bacterium. Its description in RNAcentral is "partial 16S ribosomal RNA". It matches the Rfam family "Bacterial small subunit ribosomal RNA", at positions 524 to 776 of the family's 1533-position model. The record is from RNAcentral.
CACGUAGGGGGCGAGCGUUGUCCGGAUUUAUUGGGCGUAAAGAGCUCGUAGGCGGCUCAGUAAGUCAGGUGUGAAAACUCCAGGCUCAACCUGGAGACGCCACCUGAUACUGCUGUGGCUAGAGUCCGGUAGGGGAGCAUGGAAUUCCUGGUGUAGCGGUGGAAUGCGCAGAUAUCAGGAGGAACACCGGUGGCGAAGGCGGGUCUCUGGGCAGUAACUGACGCUGAGGAGCGAAAGCGUGGGGAGCGAACAGG